RNAcentral lists this ribosomal RNA (1247 nucleotides) under metagenome. Its description in RNAcentral is "bacterial LSU rRNA". It matches the Rfam family "Bacterial large subunit ribosomal RNA", at positions 1564 to 2818 of the family's 2925-position model. The record is from RNAcentral.
UGAGUACGAGACGCUACGGCAUCGGAGCAGUCUAUGUCAUACUCCCAAGAAAAGCUUGCAAUGUCAUAAACAAAUAAUGCCUGUACCAUAACCGACACAGGUGGGUAGGUAGAGUAUACUAAGGGGCGCGAGAUAACUCUCUCUAAGGAACUCGGCAAAAUGACUCCGUAACUUCGGGAGAAGGAGUGCCUUAUUUUUAUAAGGUUGCAAUAACAAGAUCCAAGCAACUGUUUACCAAAAACACAGGUCUCCGCUAAGUCGUAAGACGAUGUAUGGGGGCUGACGCCUGCCCAGUGCCAGAAGGUUAAAGAAGUUGGUUAGCAUUAGCGAAGCUGAUAACUGAAGCCCUGGUGAACGGCGGCCGUAACUAUAACGGUCCUAAGGUAGCGAAAUUCCUUGUCGGGUAAGUUCCGACCUGCACGAAAGGCGUAAUGAUUUGGAUACUGUCUCGGAGAGGGGCUCGGUGAAAUAGACAUGUCUGUGAAGAUGCGGACUACCUGCACCUGGACAGAAAGACCCUAUGAAGCUUUACUGUAACUUGAGAUUGAAAUUGGACUUUAUCUGCGCAGUAUAGGUGGGAGACGUUGGAAAUAUUCUUGCGGGAAUAUUGGAGUCAUCAGUGAGAUACCACUCUUAUAAUGUUAGAUUUCUAACUUUGUAUCAUUAUCUGGUCAAAGAACAGUUUCAGGCGGGCAGUUUGACUGGGGCGGUCGCCUCCCAAACGGUAACGGAGGCGCACAAAGGUUUCCUCUGAACGUGUAGAAAUCGUAUCUAGAGUGUAAAGGCAUAAGGAAGCUUGACUGUGAGACCUACAAGUCGAGCAGGGACGAAAGUCGGUCUUAGUGAUCUGACGGUGCUGAGUGGAAAGGCCGUCACUCAACGGAUAAAAGUUACUCUAAGGAUAACAGGCUGAUCUCCCCCAAGAGUUCACAUCGACGGGGAGGUUUGGCACCUCGAUGUCGGCUCAUCGCAUCCUGGGGCGGUAGUACGUCCCAAGGGUUGGGCUGUUCGCCCAUGAAAGCGGUACGCGAGCUGGGUUCAGAACGUCGUGAGACAGUUCGGUCCAUAUCCGGUGUAGGCGUUAGAAUAUUGAGAGGAGCCUUCUUUAGUACGAGAGGACCGAGAAGGACAUACCUCUGGUGUACCAGUUAUCGUGCCAACGGUAAACGCUGGGUAGCCAUGUAUGGAGAGGAUAACCGCUGAAAGCAUCUAAGUGGGAAGCCCACCUCAAGAUAAGUAUUCUCAUC